AAAUUGAAGAGUUUGAUCAUGGCUCAGAUUGAACGCUGGCGGCAGGCCUAACACAUGCAAGUCGAACGGUAACAGGAAGCAGCUUGCUGCUUUGCUGACGAGUGGCGGACGGGUGAGUAAUGUCUGGGAAACUGCCUGAUGGAGGGGGAUAACUACUGGAAACGGUGGCUAAUACCGCAUAACGUCGCAAGACCAAAGAGGGGGACCUUCGGGCCUCUUGCCAUCAGAUGUGCCCAGAUGGGAUUAGCUUGUUGGUGAGGUAACGGCUCACCAAGGCGACGAUCCCUAGCUGGUCUGAGAGGAUGACCAGCCACACUGGAACUGAGACACGGUCCAGACUCCUACGGGAGGCAGCAGUGGGGAAUAUUGCACAAUGGGCGCAAGCCUGAUGCAGCCAUGCCGCGUGUAUGAAGAAGGCCUUCGGGUUGUAAAGUACUUUCAGCGGGGAGGAAGGUGUUGUGGUUAAUAACCGCAGCAAUUGACGUUACCCGCAGAAGAAGCACCGGCUAACUCCGUGCCAGCAGCCGCGGUAAUACGGAGGGUGCAAGCGUUAAUCGGAAUUACUGGGCGUAAAGCGCACGCAGGCGGUCUGUCAAGUCGGAUGUGAAAUCCCCGGGCUCAACCUGGGAACUGCAUUCGAAACUGGCAGGCUUGAGUCUUGUAGAGGGGGGUAGAAUUCCAGGUGUAGCGGUGAAAUGCGUAGAGAUCUGGAGGAAUACCGGUGGCGAAGGCGGCCCCCUGGACAAAGACUGACGCUCAGGUGCGAAAGCGUGGGGAGCAAACAGGAUUAGAUACCCUGGUAGUCCACGCCGUAAACGAUGUCUACUUGGAGGUUGUGCCCUUGAGGCGUGGCUUCCGGAGCUAACGCGUUAAGUAGACCGCCUGGGGAGUACGGCCGCAAGGUUAAAACUCAAAUGAAUUGACGGGGGCCCGCACAAGCGGUGGAGCAUGUGGUUUAAUUCGAUGCAACGCGAAGAACCUUACCUGGUCUUGACAUCCACAGAACUUUCCAGAGAUGGAUUGGUGCCUUCGGGAACUGUGAGACAGGUGCUGCAUGGCUGUCGUCAGCUCGUGUUGUGAAAUGUUGGGUUAAGUCCCGCAACGAGCGCAACCCUUAUCCUUUGUUGCCAGCGGUCCGGCCGGGAACUCAAAGGAGACUGCCAGUGAUAAACUGGAGGAAGGUGGGGAUGACGUCAAGUCAUCAUGGCCCUUACGACCAGGGCUACACACGUGCUACAAUGGCGCAUACAAAGAGAAGCGACCUCGUGAGAGCAAGCGGACCUCAUAAAGUGCGUCGUAGUCCGGAUUGGAGUCUGCAACUCGACUCCAUGAAGUCGGAAUCGCUAGUAAUCGUGGAUCAGAAUGCCACGGUGAAUACGUUCCCGGGCCUUGUACACACCGCCCGUCACACCAUGGGAGUGGGUUGCAAAAGAAGUAGGUAGCUUAACCUUCGGGAGGGCGCUUACCACUUUGUGAUUCAUGACUGGGGUGAAGUCGUAACAAGGUAACCGUAGGGGAACCUGCGGUUGGAUCACCUCCUUACCUUAAAGAAGC
Molecule: ribosomal RNA, 1554 nt
Filed under: Salmonella enterica
Lineage: Bacteria; Pseudomonadati; Pseudomonadota; Gammaproteobacteria; Enterobacterales; Enterobacteriaceae
Also listed under: 3 other names
Description: bacterial SSU rRNA
Rfam family: Bacterial small subunit ribosomal RNA
Source: RNAcentral